RNAcentral lists this ribosomal RNA (5697 nucleotides) under Triticum aestivum (bread wheat). Its description in RNAcentral is "partial small subunit ribosomal RNA". The record is from RNAcentral. Lineage: Eukaryota; Viridiplantae; Streptophyta; Magnoliopsida; Poales; Poaceae.
CACGGAGUCAAACCCAAGUGGGGAGGAAGCAGCGUGCUCUGGAAGGAGCCGGAGCCCGGGAACCCACACCGCCCCCAAAUAAAACCCCCGCCCGCCCGCCGCGCCCUCCUCGCCGGCGACCAUGAAUCCCUCCUCGCCGGAGCCCUCGCCGCCGGGGACCCCCUCGCAGGUCCUCAGCGUGCGCAUCGUCUCGCUCGACUACUACAUGGCGCCGCCCGUCCCCGGCCUCGACAUCUCCUAUAGCCCCUUCCACUGCGAGGAGGUGGAGGAGGUGCCGGUGAUCAGGAUCUACGGCUCCACCCCCGCGGGGCAGAAGACUUGCCUCCACAUCCACCAGGCCCUGCCGUACUUGUAUGUACCUUGCCCAGAGGAGCUACUUCAUAAUAUUGAAAGAGGGAAUUCAUGUAUGACUGGUCUAUUGAGUGACCUCGAGAAAACUUUACAGAAUCGUGGCCUAGCAAAAAGGAAGCAUGUCCAUGGAUGUAGCCUUGUUCGAGCAAAGAAGUUGUAUGGUUAUCAUUCAUCUGAGGAGAUUUUUGUGAAGAUCUACCUAUAUUAUCCUCAUGAGGUUUCUCGGGCUGCGACCCAUCUAUUGGGCGGUGCUGUUCUUGAUAGAGUAUUCCAGCCUUAUGAAUCACACAUUCCAUAUCUUCUUCACUUUUUGAUCGACUAUAACUUGUAUGGAAUGGGCCAUGUACAUGUCACAGACUUCAAGUUCCGCCCUCCAUUGCCAGGUGAUUUUCAUCCUAAGACUCUGCAUAGGAAGGUGGAUUCUUCUGAUGAAUCGGAGCACAAGACACAUUCAUAUAAUGCUGCGAUGAAAAACCCAAUUAUCUGGACAUCAUCAACAGUGCCACAUGCUUUAAUCCUGGGCGAUUCUUCAACUUCACAUUUCAUGGAAGGAUCCAGUUCGAACUUCAGAAAACGACAUACUUUUAUGAUGCUUGAAGCUGACUCCAGAGUAGAAGGAAUCAUAAACGAGAAGUAUAAGAUGUACACUUCUCUGUCACAAACAACGGCAGAUACCAAAAUGGUUCAGUCUCUUUUAGCAAUUUGGGAGGAACUUGAGCACUUAAGACUACUGGAUGAAACAAAACCUGCUGAUAUUGGUAGACCACCGCGGGAUGCUGUUCUUAAAAGUUUUCUUCAUGGUAUUAAGUAUGAGAGUGCUCUUUCUGCGUUGGAUCCAAAAGAGGAGGGGUCCCAUCACAAAGAUUCUGCUGUUGAAGCAUCUGAAAAGCUUGAGAGGUGCUUUAAAUCAUUGACCGAUGUUAUUGGGACUAUCACAUUCUCACAAAAUGGCUGCUGCGAAAAUAUUGGUAGUGAUAAUUCUGCUCAAAGAACAUCUCAGUCAUUUGACGAACAUGAAAAGCAUGUAGAUUCUGAAGCACUUGGGCUUUUAAGCUGGAUGGCCUCCUCACAGGCUGGAGAGGAGCCAACAACUGAUGAUGAAUUAGUCAAUGAAGUCAUUCUGAGCCCUUUGUUCUCCAAGAAGUCCAUUGAAUUUGCUUUAGAGUCUGCUCACUUGGAUUUCGAUAGUGCUUCUCAGCAGGAGUGCCAGGAUAUUCUUGAUACACUUGAACCCAUGACUGGGGCAGAAGAAUUGAAUGCUCAGAAGUCUUACCACAGUUCUCCAAUGCUUGAUGAGAGUACUUCAGUGACCAAUACUAUUCCUCAGAUUGACGGGUCUUCUGAUGAAAAACAGAAAGGCCCCCAAGAAUAUGAUCAGGGUAAAAUUACUAGAAGAAAAAUAGGAACAGCUAGUUACUCAUCUAGUAAAAAUAGUUCAAAGUUAGCAAGUAAGCAUGGAUGUACUGAACUUCUCUGGGGUUCUUUGCCUCUUUCUACUAAAAAGCGGUCACAUGGAAAUGCUGAUGGUCCUGUUAAACUUUCUUCAGGCAGUGCAAUGCCAACUGAGGAUCCAAGUUCUUACAAGAGUAAAACUGAGAAGAACUCUUGUGAUACCACAGACGACAAUGACAAGGAAUCUUCUGGUUCGAUAGGUGAACAUGGCUCAGCCUGUCUUUCUGUGAGGGAUUUAAUGAGGAGGAAGCGGAGGGGAUCUUUUCAGCCUGAAAAGUUAGAUUUUGGUUGUUCUGGAACUGCAGCAUGCAACAUGGAUAAAACCAGCGGAAUCGUGAUUUCUGGAGGAUUAGAAGUGCAUGAUGUCACCAGUGGUCUUCCAAAUUCAGAAACGUCUUAUUCUGGUGGUGAAUAUGUACAUAUGACAUUUGCGCAGAAGCCUCCAACUGGUUCGGAGGUUUCUUCGGCGAGCAUUGAGCAUCCUGAAUCUGCUAAACUGGGAUCGGUUGACCCCCUUCCAUUUUUCAAUCAGACUGCUGAAGAGAAUAAGGAGAGUGGAUCAUUUCAGUAUAUGGGAAGUAGUGAAUUCACACCUGAUACUUUGGGUGUUCCAACUCAUUUCCAAAAUGAUGGAUCCGUCCUAUAUUUGCUGACGCAUGCAUUUUCACCACCAUCUGCAGCAGCUGUGGGCCAGUGGCUACCUCAACACACUUAUUCCAAUAGUGUCUCUGGUUACUUCAACUGUGGUGAGAAUGUUACAGAUGAUCAGGAAAUAGAACACCAUCCUACUUCUACACCACAUGCGGAAGCUCUUCCUUUGAUGGCCAAUUCUCCUGUACCCGGAUCUGCUUCUGAGCAUACAACAACAACGUUCAUUGAUACAGUUAUGAUGAAAUCUGACCAGCCGAACAAAGAAAAUAAAAAGUUGGAUGAUUGGCAUGACUUUUCCCAGAUCUCAGCUGAAGAUGAGAAGCAUAAGCUCACACCUCUCAGUCAAAUUGGAUUUCGUGACCCUGCUAGCACCGGUGGUGGACAACAACUGACGAUACUUAGCAUAGAGGUAUUUGCGGAAAGCAGAGCAGAGCUGCGUCCUGAUCCACGGUUUGAUGCCAUCAAUGUUGUAUCUUUGGCUGUCGAGGAUGACGGUGACAAUACUGUUGAAGUUCGUGUACUUAUACGUGGAAACAAUGACAAAUCACAGGGGAGGAGAAACCUUGACGGAGUUAUUGGUUGCAGUGUCGAUGUCUUCCCGGAAGAGAGGAAUCUUUUGAAUCAUCUUAUCGAUGCAUUAUGUUCAAUUGAUCCAGAUAUCCUAGUUGGAUGGGAGAUUCAGUUAGGAUCUUUAGGAUUUCUUGCUGAAAGAGCUGCUUAUCUGGGUAUAGGCUUACUGAAAAGAAUCUCAAGGACACUACCACAUGAGUCAAAAUAUCCACCUAAGAAUCUAGCCCAUGAGUCUAGUCAGGUGCCUGAAGCAUCUCCUGCCGAUGAUGUUAUUGUGGAUGUCAGUGAGAAUGAUUGGAGUCAUACUCAUGCUAGUGGUGUACAUGUUGGUGGGAGAAUUGUAUUAAACUUAUGGCGUCUCAUGCGUGGAGAAGUUAAGCUUAACAAUUACUCCCUUGAAGCUGUGGCUGAUGAAGUCCUGAGGCGAAAGGUACCAUUAGUACCAAACAAGACAUUGAAUCGAUGGUUUGCAACAGGUCCUGGACGAGGAAGACACCGGUGCAUAGAAUAUGUUAACAGCAGAGCUAUGCUCAACCUUGAAAUAAUAAAUCAACUUGACCUGGUCAAUCGGACAUCUGAACUUGCUCGUGUGUUUGGUAUUGACUUCUUCUCUGUUCUUUCACGAGGGUCUCAGUUUCGUGUUGAAUCUAUGCUCUUGAGAUUGGCUCAUACACAGAACUACCUUGCAAUUUCCCCAGGAAACCAACAGGUUGCUUCUCAGCCAGCCAUGGAGUGCAUGCCACUUGUAAUGGAACCAGAAUCAGCUUUCUACUCUGACCCAGUUCUCGUAUUGGAUUUUCAAUCUCUUUAUCCUUCCAUGAUAAUAGCAUAUAAUCUAUGUUAUUCUACUUGCUUGGGUAAAGUUUUCCCGUCGAAGUCCAGUGUACUUGGUGUCAGCUCAUAUUCAGCCGAUCCGCAUACGAUCGCUGAUCUGAAAAAUCAGCUGAUUCUUACUCCAAAUGGGGUUCUGUAUGUGCAACCGGGGGUCAGAAAAGGUGUAGUGCCUCGCCUUCUUGAGGAGAUACUGUCAACCAGAAUUAUGGUGAAGCAAGCAAUGAAAAAGCUAGCUCCAUCUCAGAAGGUUCUGCAGAAGAUACUCAAUGCUCGGCAACUUGCUCUGAAGCUGAUAGCUAAUGUAACGUAUGGUUACACAGCUGCUGGGUUCAGUGGUCGUAUGCCCUGUGCAGAGCUUGCAGACAGCAUUGUUCAAUGUGGUCGUAGAACGCUUGAAACAGCAAUAUCAUUUGUCAAUCAGCAUCCCUUGUGGAAUGCUAGGGUUGUGUAUGGUGAUACUGACAGUAUGUUUGUUCUUCUAAAAGGGCGAUCUAGGGAAGAAGCAUUCAGAAUAGGGAAGGAAAUUGCCUCUUUAGUGACUGCGAUUAAUCCGGAUCCAGUCACUUUGAAGUUUGAGAAAGUGUACCAUCCCUGUUUCCUUCUUACAAAGAAGAGAUAUGUUGGCUAUAGCUAUGAAAAUCCCGAACAGAACGAGCCAAUCUUUGACGCAAAGGGGAUUGAGACAGUGCGGAGAGAUACAUGCCCGGCGGUUGCGAAGAUGUUAGAACGAUCUCUUAGAAUAAUGUUUCAAGAACAAGACUUGGUCAAGGUUAAAUCGUAUGUGGAGCGUCAAUGGACACGGAUAUUAUCAGGAAAAGUUUCUAUUCAGGACUUCAUUUUUGCAAAGGAGGUUCGUCUUGGUACUUACAGUGCAAGGGCAUCCUCACUGCCACCUGCAGCAAUUGUUGCAACAAAAGCAAUGUUGUCUGAUCCACGGGCAGAACCACGUUAUGCAGAGAGAGUGCCCUAUGUUGUUAUCCAUGGGGAACCAGGGGCUCGUCUCGUCGAUAUGGUCAUUGAUCCAUAUGGUCUGCUAGAAGUUGGAUCCCCUUAUAGGUUAAAUGAAUUAUAUUACAUAACCAAACAGAUUAUCCCAGCACUACAACGUGUCUUUGGACUCCUAGGUGUUAACCUAAAUAAAUGGUUUAACGAGAUGCCUCGCCCCACACGGUCAACACUCGCGAAACGCCAGUCUGCUUUGGGUCACGGUUCUCGUGAUAGCAGUUCCAUCCGAUUGGGAUGGAACAAGAAACCGCCCGCCAAAGUAGCCAGGAUAGAUACCUAUUAUAUGUCGAGCCAUUGUACUAUCUGUGGUGAUACAGUUCAAGGAUCAGAAACUUUUUGCAGUUACUGUUUAAGAAAUGAAGCUGUUGUUGCCACUGUAGUCGCUGGCAGGACAUCAAAAUUGGAGCGAGAAAUCCAACAUCUUGCUGCUAUAUGUGGCCACUGCGGCGGCGCAGAUUGGAUCGUGGAAAGUGGUGUCAAGUGCUUUUCGCUUGCAUGCCCGGUGUUCUAUGAGCGUCGGAAGGUCCAGAAGGAGUUAAGAGCCGUCUCGGAAUCUGCUGCAGAAGCUGGCUAUUAUCCAUUCUGCUGCGCAGAGCUAUUCUGACUUUGUGUUCUUGUUGUUAAUAUCUUGUACAUUGUACAUCUGUAAAAUGUACAAUCAGACUGUAAUUAUGUUGUUGUAACUCAUAGCAUUGUUACGUACCAGUGUGUAGCAAAGGAGUAUAUACUGUGUAACAACACACAUCCUCAUUUGAGAGGACAAGAAAAAGUUACUCGCCUGUUUGUUUUCGAAUGGUGUUUUCUGUCUUGAUCACCCUCUUGUGCUAGAAAUUC